Molecule: long non-coding RNA, 642 nt
Filed under: Phasianus colchicus (ring-necked pheasant)
Lineage: Eukaryota; Metazoa; Chordata; Aves; Galliformes; Phasianidae
Description: lncRNA (ENSPCLG00000010921.1)
Source: RNAcentral
AAUUUUUCUGAACUACAGGAAAGAGUGUAUUGUUUGACUGUUGUUGCAUCCAGACUUUCUGCCAAUAAUGAAAGUAAGAAAUGGCGUGGAUUUCACAAGAGGAAAGACAGUUUAUGCAUAACAGAGUCCGGGAUACUGAGAAACACUGCAUGCUUUUAGAGGAGACAGACAGAGUCUUUUUACAACAUGUUGUGUUGGUGACUGGAUAGUUCUGGGGACUAAUGAGGAGAUAGAAAAUCACAGUGAACUCAGCAACCAUUUCAAAUCCAAUUUUCUUCAACAGCUUUCCAGCCCUGAGCAGCACUGCACCAAGCCUGGCGUUGGUUCUUCUGAGCCCCAGCAGCCUUCACUUCACUGAGCUUGGAAGUCUCUGUUUCCUGAAUCAACACACCCAGCACUUGGCUUUUUCUUCCCGCUGUUACCCAGAUCGCAGGCCUGAUCACACUGUGGGCUACACACAUGGUUUAUGCUGCUGGACUGUACAUAGGAAAGAGGAACCACAUAAAGGAUGGGUCAGGAUGCUUGUGACAUGGAGGAUCAGCCUCCACAUGACUGAAGAGAAGAAAAAGGAAAGCACUGCCAUAAAAGUGACAGCAGAAGUGAAGAAUAGUGGCAGAUGCGUAAUGUGCCACUGGAAAGGAG